AGAUCGCUUGAGCCUAGCUAGGAGUUUGAGGCUGAAGUGAGCUAUGGUCUCACCAGUGUACUCCAGCCUGGGCAACAGAG
Molecule: small nuclear RNA, 80 nt
Filed under: Homo sapiens (human)
Lineage: Eukaryota; Metazoa; Chordata; Mammalia; Primates; Hominidae
Description: partial ncRNA
Source: RNAcentral